RNAcentral lists this long non-coding RNA (6141 nucleotides) under Malus domestica (apple). Its description in RNAcentral is "long non-coding RNA (MDOM_LNC000335)". Lineage: Eukaryota; Viridiplantae; Streptophyta; Magnoliopsida; Rosales; Rosaceae. The record is from RNAcentral.
CGAUUUGAUCGUCGAGGUUUCACGCCAUUUUGAGGUUCAGAAAGGUAACAAGUCUUUUUCCUUAGUCAUUUGGCAUGAUUUUGGUUGAAGUUUAACGUGAGAAAACCCCAGAAAAUCGAAUCCCCAAGUUGGUCACUAUUCAUCAACUUUUAAAUGGAGGGUUUUCUUUGAAUUUCAGGGCUAUAGUGAGCUUUAGAACGUCCGCAUGAUGCUCGGAGUGCAACGUUGAGGUAUUUUGGACGUCGGGGAGCCAUAGAACGAAGUUUCACUUUUUGCCGAAUUAUCGUGCUUCCCCAGGUAAAAUCUAGUGAAUUUUAGACCUUGAAACUAGUCCAUCGUGAUUCUACAUGUUGAGGGCUUCAAAUUGAUAUAAAAUUCGAAGAAAACGGUUGAGAAACGAAGGAGAACAAGCAAUUACAAAAUUCGCCGGAAUCCGGCCACCGGAAAAACCAGUCCGGUGACUGGCUGAGGAAGAAGACGCACGUGGGGGCGUGUAGGUCCGUGCCACCCACGGCGCGUGAGGGCACGUGGCAAGCCUAAAAAUUUUUCUAAAAAUUCUUAACAUCCGUGACGUCGAGUAGGUCGAUGUGGUAUAUUCAUAUACCCAAAUUGAGCAUCGUAUGAGAAGUUAUUUCGAAUUGUUGGUUAUGUGUUUAAAUUAACGUUUUUAUAGUUGUUUCGCAUAUAGGUGACACCUAUCCCUAGAACGAGCUCAUCCAGGGACGUCACGGGGGUUACGACCCAUCGACUUAUCAGUGAGUGGGCAGUUUUGUUUUCGUAUUACCUAUAUACUACUGUUUUCCCAGAAAAUGCAACUAUAUGAAAAUAUGUUUUAAAAUGCCAUGCAUGCAAUCAAUGAGAUAUUUGAAUUGAUAAUUGAUGCAUAUAUAUGUGAAUUGACGUUGUUGACGCACAUGUGAGUUUUUACAUUAUUCAUACGAUUUAUUUUAUGUGAAUUGCAUUGGAAGCUCAUAACCUACACCCUAGUUGUUAGUGCAUAUAUUAUUCACCACACCGCACGCUCGCCUUGGAUCCAAGUAGGUGGAUGUCGUACAGACCACUAGAGGUGGUUCCGACAUGCCAGUUGUACAGACCAUUAGAGGGGUUCCGACUGGUAGGUGACCUUAGAUUAUGUGCAUAGAUGAUUGAUGAGAAAAGCACUAGAGCAUAUUAUUUCACCAUCUUAGUCGUACAGACUACUAUAGGUAGUUCCGACUUAUGUGCAGUGUAGUGCUGUACAGGUCACAGUUGGUGACUCCGGCUGGAUGGGAUAUUGAGCUAUAGAAUCAGCCGUACAGGACCACUGUAGGGUCUCCGGUUGAUUUAUUAAUUCGCCUGAUUUAUAUUGAUGCUUUCAUAUUAUAUUUUGGCAUAUGGCAUGGCAUGGUAUAUUCUUCUGAAAAGCGUUGAAGGAUUGUGAUUUGAGCUUUUGAUGAUAUAUAUAUGUUUAUAUAUAUAUAUAUUUUUUUUCUGGGAAAGUAUACAGGUUUUACGGCGAGGGGUUAGAAAUGUUUUAAAUGAAAGAUUUUCGAAAAGCUUUGUUUUGCUGACCCACUCAAUUUUGUUUUGCGCCCCUCCAGGUUCAAGUUAGCAGAGCUUUGGUGGCCACGAGGAAUCCAACGGUGUUCUGACAGAAUUCACAAAAGUUGGAUUCACCCUCGGGUGUUAUAUCUUAGUAAUUGUAUUCUUUAAAGCUUCCGAACUGUGUAAAUGGUUACGUCACUCUCACGUGACGGCCAGCAUGCCCUCCUUCGGGACGGGGUGUGUCAGUUGGUAUCAGAGCCUAGGUUACAAUUUUGGACAUCUUUAGAAUUUCGUAGUGUCUUCUGUCAGAACUAUACCGCCUCGUAGCGAGCCACGUAGUUCGUAUGUUGUUGCUAAUCCGAUCGAGGCGUAUAUAUGUAUUUCCCUGUGACGAGUAAAAUGAUAAUAUUGCACCCUUAAGAAUUGUUGCUUACUUAUCGAGACGACAAUGAGUUAUCGUUAUUGCAGGCUGCAGACCGUAAUAUCCAUAACUUAUUUGUUGGAUUCGUUAGGCAGGUAAACAUGUAGGUCAUUCUAUGUCGGUUAUGAUUAUUCAGGGUGUCCAGUGAUGGUGGAAGAAGUAGUUAUGCCAGCGAGUCUUAUCCCGUUAGACAUUGUGGAUUUUGAUGUGAUUUUAGGCACAGAUUGGUUGCAUUAUAAUCGUGCCAAUAUGGAUUACUACGGGAAAUCAGUUACUUUCCAUUGUCUUGGAAUAUCGGAGGCACUUUUGUGAGUGAGCAAAGUGUAGUGAGGCAUGCUGUUAUUUCUGUGGUGAGAGUAAAGAAAUUGUUAUCAAAAGGUUGCCAAGGAUACCUAGCUCAUGUGGUGUUGUGGGAUCGUACUCCUAGUAUUGUGGAUGACGUACGAGUGGUAGACAUUUUCCAAAUGUGUUCCAGAUGAUUUACCUGGAUUGCCGCCAGACAGAGAUGUGAAGUUUACUAUUGAUUUGCUUCCAGGUAAGAUCUUAUAUCUUUAUUUCCAUAUAGAAUGGCUCCAGCUGAGUUGAGAGAAUUGAAAAUUCAGUUACAAGAAUUACUUGAUAAAUGUUUCAUUCAACCUAGUUCGUCACCUUGGGGAGCUCCAGUAUUAUUUGUGAGAAAGAAAGAUGGAACUCUGAGAUUAUGCAUUGCUUAUAGGCAAUUGAACUGGGUAACGAUUAAAAACCGUUAUCCAUUGCCUCGCAUCGAUGAUUUGUUUGAUCAGCUGAAAAGUGCGUGUGUAUUCUCUAAGAUUGAUUUGAGAUCUGGUUAUUAUCAGUUGAAGAUUAAAGAUGAAGAUGUACCUAAGACGGCUUUCAAAACCCGUUAUGGACAUUAUGAAUUUCUGGUGAUGCCAUUUGGGUUGACUAAUGCGCCUGCAGCUUUCAUGAGGCUAAUGAACGAAGUAUUCCAGCAAUAUCUUGAUAAAUUUGUUAUUGUUUUUAUUGAUGAUAUUCUGGUAUACUCUAAAUCUAAAGCAGAUCACAUCCGACAUCUUAACUUGGUAUUAAAGAAAUUGAGGGAACAUCAGUUGUAUGCCAAGUUCAGUAAAUGUCAGUUUUGGUUGACUGAAAUGGCAUUUUUGGGGCAUGUUGUAUCAACACAAGGAAUUCAAGUAGAUCCUCAAAAGAUAGCAGCAAUGGAGAAUUGGGAACAACCUCGAACCGUCACUGAGGUACGAAGUUUUCUUGGUUUGGCAGGUUAUUAUCGACGGUUUGUUCAGGAUUUUUCUAUGAUUGCUUUGCCGUUAACGAAGUUGACCAGGAAGGAUGUUAAAUUCGAGUGGGAUGAGAAUUGUGAGCGGAGUUUCCAGCAAUUGAAAUAUUGCCUCACUCAUGCUCCAGUAUUGGUACUUCCUGAUGAUAGCGGUAAUUUUGAGAUUUACAGUGAUGCUUCCUUGAAUGGUUUGGGAUGUGUUUUGAUGCAGCAUAAUAAAGUGAUUGCCUAUGCUUCUCGACAGUUGAAGAAUCAUGAAAGGAAUUAUCCUACUCACGAUCUUGAAUUGGCAGCCAUUGUCUUUGCUUUGAAGAUUUGGAGGCAUUAUCUAUAUGGUGAGAAGUGUAAGAUCUUCACUGAUCACAAGAGUCUUCAGUAUCUAUUUACUCAGCAUGAUUUUAAUCUUCGUCAGUGAAGGUGGAUGGAAUUAUUAAGUGAUUAUGACUGCACUAUUGAGUAUCAUCCGGGUCGUGCUAAUGUAGUAGCUUAUGCUCUGAGUAAGAAACCUCAAGGUCGACUCAAUGCUUUAUAUGCUUGUCGUGUUCCCCUUCUUGCAGAACUGAGGGCAACUGGAGUAAAGUUGGAGUUGGAAGAUCGAAGCGAAGCUUUUCUUGCUAGUUUUCAAGUCAGGCCAGUUUUGGUUGAUCGUGUACUCAAAGCUCAGUUGGUUGAUGAGGAGAUUCAAGAAUUGAUUCAAUUGAGAUGUGAAGGGAAAAAGAAAGACCUCAGGAUUCGGGAAUCAGAUGGCACGCUUAUGCAAGAGAACAUGAUGUAUGUGCCGAAUAACGAGGAACUAAAGAAAGAAAUUUUGUAUGAAGCACAUUGUUCGGCUUAUGCGAUACACCCAGGAGGAACCAAGAUGUAUCAUACCAUUCGUCCAUUUUAUUAUUAGCCGGGUAUGAAGAGGGAGAUUGCUGAGUACGUAAGUAGGUGUAUUGUUUGCCAACAAGUCAAAGCAGAAAGGAAGAAGCCUUUUGGUCGGAUGCAGCCACUUCCCGUCCCUCAGUGGAAAUGAGAAGAUAUGUCUAUGGAUUUUGUGUAUAAGCUUCCCCGUACUCAGAAUGGAUUCGAUGGCGUUUGGGUGAUUGUAGAUUGACUUACCAAGUCAGCACACUUCAUUCCAGUGAGAGAGAAGUACCCUUUGAAUAAAUUAGCUAAGUUGUUCAUCACGAAGAUUGUGAAGUAUCAUGGAGUUCCAGUGAAUAUUAUUUCUGAUCGAGAUCCAAGAUUUACUUCUAAGUUUUGGAUAGCUUUCCAGGAAGCUCUUGGUACGAAAUUGCUUUACAGUACUGCUUAUCAUCCUCAGACAGAUGGACAAUCAGAGAGGACUAUUCAGACGUUGGAGGAUAUGUUGAGAUCUUCAGUGUUGCGGUUUGGUGAUUCUUGGCAUGAUCGCAUAGAUUGAUGGAAUUUUCCUACAACAAUAGUUUUCAUUCGAGCAUCGGUAUGUCACCAUUUGAGGCACUUUAUGGUAGGGCGUGUCGUACGCCAUUGUGUUGGUCUGAGGUUGGUGAAAGAGUGUUAGAGGCCCAGAGACUGUGGAUGAGACUACUCAAAAUAUUCAGGUGAUUAAGUCCAACCUGAAAGCAGCCCAGGAUCGACAAAAGAGUUUAGCGGAUCGACAUGCUACUGAUCGAGUGUAUGAUGUGGGUGAUUUGGUAUUUUUGAAAUUGUCACCUUGGAGAGGUGUGGUACGAUUUGGAAAAAGAGGAAAGUUAAGUCCUAGGUACAUAGGACCCUAUGAGAUCACCGAGAGGAUUGGUGAAGUUGCCUACAGGUUGGAGUUGCCUCCGGAGUUAUCUAAAGUUCAUAAUGUGUUUCAUGUCUCUAUGCUUCGACAUUAUAUUUCUGAUCCUUCACAUGUGAUCCCUCCUCAACCGCUAGAGAUUAAUCCAGAUUUGAUGUAUGAUGAGGAACCAGUGACUAUCUUGGAUUGGAAAGAUAAGGUUCUAAGGAAUAAGACGGUGAGCUUGGUGAAGGUGUUGUGGAGGAACCAUUCGGCAGAAGAAGCUACCUGGGAGACAGAGGAUCGAAUGAGAGAGAUGUACCCAAGGUUAUUUUAUGGAUAUUAAGUGAAUUGUUGGUUGUAUGAAUUUCGGGGACGAAAUUCUAUAAGGAAGGGAGAUUGUCACAGCCCGUCCCGAGAUUUUUAUAUCGGGAACCGUGAAAUGACGGGAUUACCCUUGACGGGUAUUAAGGUAUGUGUGUAUGUGACAUUAUUUAGACUUAAACUUUAUAAAUUUUGGAAUUAUCUUAUGUUGGAUUGUUUGUGUGGUUAGGGAACUAAGAUGAGAAUGGAUGGUGAGGAUUGAUAUUGGACCACACAUACAAGCCCUCCUUCCUUUUCCCUUCCCCAUGUCUCUCUCUCUCCUCCCUUCGAACUCUCCCUUUCUCUGCAAAUCGUAUGGACGUAGUCCGUUGACCCCCAUUCCUUCACGGAUCAAGCUCCUAAGACCCCCCAUCAUAUUUCUUGCAAGAAUACGAAUUAAACCAUACCCUUGGUUGGUUGAAUUAUCUUUGAUAAACCCAGAAACCACGAGGGUUCCGUCGAAGCACUGUAGCACCGAUUUGAUCGUCGAGGUUUCACGCCAUUUUGAGGUUCAGAAAGGUAACAAGUCUCUUUCCUUAGUCAUUUGGCAUGAUUUUGGUUAAAGUUUAACGUGAGAAAACCCCGGAAAAUCGAAUCCCCGAGUUAGUCACUAUUCAUCAACUUUUAAACGGAGGGUUUUCUUUGAAUUUCAGGGCUAUAAUGAGCUUUAGAAUGUCCUCAUGAUGCUCGGAGUGCAACGUUGAGGUAUUUUGGACGUCAGGGAGCCAUAGAACGAAGUUUCACUUUUUGCCGAAUUAUCGUGCUUCCCCAGGUAAAAUCUAGUGAAUUUUAGACCUUGAAACUAGUCCAUCGUGAUUCUACAUGUUGAGGGCU